This 68-nucleotide transfer RNA is filed under the name Polypedilum heberti. Its description in RNAcentral is "tRNA-Ile". The record is from RNAcentral. Lineage: Eukaryota; Metazoa; Arthropoda; Insecta; Diptera; Chironomidae.
AAUGAAUUGCCUGAUAAAAGGAAUACCUUGAUAGGGUAUAUCAUAUAAUUUUAAUAUUAUAUUCAUUA